This 1318-nucleotide ribosomal RNA is filed under the name Leuconostoc citreum. RNAcentral describes it as "bacterial SSU rRNA". It matches the Rfam family "Bacterial small subunit ribosomal RNA", at positions 118 to 1424 of the family's 1533-position model. The record is from RNAcentral. Lineage: Bacteria; Bacillati; Bacillota; Bacilli; Lactobacillales; Lactobacillaceae.
UGGAUAACCUGCCUCAAGGCUGGGGAUAACAUUUGGAAACAGAUGCUAAUACCGAAUAAAACUUAGUAUCGCAUGAUAUCAAGUUAAAAGGCGCUACGGCGUCACCUAGAGAUGGAUCCGCGGUGCAUUAGUUAGUUGGUGGGGUAAAGGCUUACCAAGACGAUGAUGCAUAGCCGAGUUGAGAGACUGAUCGGCCACAUUGGGACUGAGACACGGCCCAAACUCCUACGGGAGGCUGCAGUAGGGAAUCUUCCACAAUGGGCGCAAGCCUGAUGGAGCAACGCCGCGUGUGUGAUGAAGGCUUUCGGGUCGUAAAGCACUGUUGUAUGGGAAGAAAUGCUAAAAUAGGGAAUGAUUUUAGUUUGACGGUACCAUACCAGAAAGGGACGGCUAAAUACGUGCCAGCAGCCGCGGUAAUACGUAUGUCCCGAGCGUUAUCCGGAUUUAUUGGGCGUAAAGCGAGCGCAGACGGUUGAUUAAGUCUGAUGUGAAAGCCCGGAGCUCAACUCCGGAAUGGCAUUGGAAACUGGUUAACUUGAGUGUUGUAGAGGUAAGUGGAACUCCAUGUGUAGCGGUGGAAUGCGUAGAUAUAUGGAAGAACACCAGUGGCGAAGGCGGCUUACUGGACAACAACUGACGUUGAGGCUCGAAAGUGUGGGUAGCAAACAGGAUUAGAUACCCUGGUAGUCCACACCGUAAACGAUGAAUACUAGGUGUUAGGAGGUUUCCGCCUCUUAGUGCCGAAGCUAACGCAUUAAGUAUUCCGCCUGGGGAGUACGACCGCAAGGUUGAAACUCAAAGGAAUUGACGGGGACCCGCACAAGCGGUGGAGCAUGUGGUUUAAUUCGAAGCAACGCGAAGAACCUUACCAGGUCUUGACAUCCUUUGAAGCUUUUAGAGAUAGAAGUGUUCUCUUCGGAGACAAAGUGACAGGUGGUGCAUGGUCGUCGUCAGCUCGUGUCGUGAGAUGUUGGGUUAAGUCCCGCAACGAGCGCAACCCUUAUUGUUAGUUGCCAGCAUUCAGUUGGGCACUCUAGCGAGACUGCCGGUGACAAACCGGAGGAAGGCGGGGACGACGUCAGAUCAUCAUGCCCCUUAUGACCUGGGCUACACACGUGCUACAAUGGCGUAUACAACGAGUUGCCAACCUGCGAAGGUGAGCUAAUCUCUUAAAGUACGUCUCAGUUCGGACUGCAGUCUGCAACUCGACUGCACGAAGUCGGAAUCGCUAGUAAUCGCGGAUCAGCACGCCGCGGUGAAUACGUUCCCGGGUCUUGUACACACCGCCCGUCACACCAUGGGAGUUUGUAAUGCCCAA